AAAUGCUACAGUUCUUUCCUCCAAAAAAUUAUUAUUAAUCUAGGGAAGAACGUUGAAAAUGCUUUGAGUGUUUAAUUUUUUUCCAUGACCUUCAUCAAUGGAAUAUAAACAUAAUUUGAUAUAACUCAUUAAACAAUAUUAUCAGAAAGCUGAUAACGUUGUUAUUCCCAAAGUAUUCCAUUGGGGCUGUUACAUUCCAUCACAAUUUGUCGACUCAUAUGUGAAAAUCUCUUCUCAUAAAAUGACUCUAUCAAUUCCCUCUAUUAAAUUCUAUAAUGGUCAGGAAAUUCCUGUAUUUGGAUUAGGAACGUGGAAAUCUAAAGCUGGUGAGGUAACUCAAGCUGUGAAAGAUGCUAUUGAUUUGGGGUAUCGUCAUAUAGAUUGUGCUUAUGUUUAUGGUAACGAAAAAGAGGUAGGUGAUGCUAUAAAAACUAAAAUAGCUGAAGGUGUUGUAAAAAGGGAAGACCUCUUUAUCACCAGCAAACUUUGGAAUACCUUCCACAAACCUGAGCUAGUUGAAACUGCUCUUAAAGAAUCUUUGAAAAAUUUAAGUGUUGAAUAUGUUGAUUUGUACCUCAUCCAUUGGCCUCUUGGCUAUAAGGAAGGUGGUGCUCUUUUUCCUACCAAUGAGCAAGGAAAAAUAGAAUUCAGUGAUGUUGACUAUGUGGAUACUUGGAAAGCUCUGGAAGCUAUUUCAAGAAAGGGACUAGCAAAAUCAAUUGGUUUAUCCAAUUUUAACAAGAGACAAAUUGAGAGAAUUUUAGAAAUUGCAACAGUUAAACCAGCCAAUCUUCAGAUUGAAUGCCAUCCCUACCUGAAUCAGAAAAAACUAAUUGAUUUUUGCAAGCCCAAAGGAAUUAGUGUGACAGGUUAUAGUCCACUUGGAUCUCCUGAUAGACCAUGGGCUAAACCAGAGGAUCCUCAAUUAUUGAAGGAUCCCAAACUGAUAAAACUAGCAGAAAAACAUAAUAAGACACCUGCUCAAAUUAUUCUCAGAUAUCAGGUGCAACGGGGCGUUAUAACCAUUCCUAAAUCGGUGACAAAAUCUAGAAUUGCUGAAAACAUUGAUAUUUGGGAUUUUAAAUUAACAGAUGAUGAUAUGAAGUAUAUUGAUUCGUUUGAUUGCAAUGGAAGAUUAUGUCCAAUGACGGCAGGGUUAGGGCACCCACACCAUCCAUUUGAAAAUGAUGAGUUUUAGUUUAACCCACUAUACACUGUAAUAAAUGAUAUAUUUCUUUGAAUAUGUACAAAUAUUCCAGAUUAGAUCAACUCUGCAACAUACUAGAGGCCGAAGCUGUUUCAAAGAGUGAUGUUCAUGAAAGAUUUAUUUUACAACCUCUUGUACCGAGUCUAAAAUUCCAAAAUAAAUAAAUAGGAGUUAAUUAUUUUCAUUGAAA
Molecule: RNA transcript, 1397 nt
Organism: Coccinella septempunctata (seven-spotted ladybird)
Lineage: Eukaryota; Metazoa; Arthropoda; Insecta; Coleoptera; Coccinellidae
Gene name: aldo-keto reductase family 1 member B1-like
Exons: 6
Source: RefSeq, a predicted model, not a curated record